CCUACGGGAGGCUGCAGUGGGGAAUAUUGGACAAUGGGGGCAACCCUGAUCCAGCCAUGCCGCGUGUGUGAAGAAGGCCCUCGGGUUGUAAAGCACUUUCAGUGAGGAAGAACGCCUGGUGGUUAAUACCCAUCAGGAAAGACAUCACUCACAGAAGAAGCACUGGCUAACUCCGUGCCAGCAGCCGCGGUAAUACGGAGGGUGCGAGCGUUAAUCGGAAUUACUGGGCGUAAAGCGCGCGUAGGUGGCUUGAUAAGCCGGUUGUGAAAGCCCCGGGCUCAACCUGGGAACGGCAUCCGGAACUGUCAAGCUAGAGUGCAGGAGAGGAAGGUAGAAUUCCCGGUGUAGCGGUGAAAUGCGUAGAGAUCGGGAGGAAUACCAGUGGCGAAGGCGGCCUUCUGGACUGACACUGACACUGAGGUGCGAAAGCGUGGGUAGCAAACAGGAUUAGAUACCCUGGUAGUC
RNAcentral lists this ribosomal RNA (465 nucleotides) under Vreelandella stevensii. Its description in RNAcentral is "partial 16S ribosomal RNA". It matches the Rfam family "Bacterial small subunit ribosomal RNA", at positions 338 to 795 of the family's 1533-position model. The record is from RNAcentral. Lineage: Bacteria; Pseudomonadati; Pseudomonadota; Gammaproteobacteria; Oceanospirillales; Halomonadaceae.